Molecule: long non-coding RNA, 286 nt
Organism: Ananas comosus (pineapple)
Lineage: Eukaryota; Viridiplantae; Streptophyta; Magnoliopsida; Poales; Bromeliaceae
Exons: 4
Source: RefSeq, a predicted model, not a curated record
ACUGGAAUUGGGACCCUCUCCACCUGAUUUGGAGUUCGUUUGUAUUUCAGCUCGUACUCGACGUAGGAGCAUCGGAUUUCGUCGAGACUUGAUUCGUUGGUUUCGGGACUGCAAGAAGAAUCCACAAGUCCUUACUUGUGGAUUUUGGUGAAGAUCUUAAGGGGCUUUUGUUGCUGGUUUGAAGAGGUUUCCAGCAGUGUUGCUUGAGGAUCCGAGACCCUAUUGCUGCCAGGAAUUGCAUUAGAGAGCCACAGGUUUCGGCUGCUGCGCCUUCCGCGGAUCAGGA